RNAcentral lists this ribosomal RNA (441 nucleotides) under uncultured bacterium. RNAcentral's name for it is "bacterial SSU rRNA". It matches the Rfam family "Bacterial small subunit ribosomal RNA", at positions 355 to 796 of the family's 1533-position model. The record is from RNAcentral.
UGGGGAAUAUUGCACAAUGGGCGCAAGCCUGAUGCAGCGACGCCGCGUGGGGGAUGACGGCCUUCGGGUUGUAAACCUCUUUCACCAUCGACGAAGGCCCGGCUUUUGUCGGGUUGACGGUAGGUGGAGAAGAAGCACCGGCCAACUACGUGCCAGCAGCCGCGGUAAUACGUAGGGUGCGAGCGUUGUCCGGAAUUACUGGGCGUAAAGAGCUCGUAGGUGGUUUGUCGCGUUGUUCGUGAAAUUCCCUGGCUUAACUGGGGGCGUGCGGGCGAUACGGGCAGACUGGAGUACUGCAGGGGAGACUGGAAUUCCUGGUGUAGCGGUGGAAUGCGCAGAUAUCAGGAGGAACACCGGUGGCGAAGGCGGGUCUCUGGGCAGUAACUGACGCUGAGGAGCGAAAGCGUGGGGAGCGAACAGGAUUAGAUACCCCCGUAGUCC